GCUUACACUGACAUGUGUAUGCUCGGGUCCCACGGAGAGGAUUGAGACGAGCCCUGAGUCGUGCAGCAACAGGGUAAUUGUUGCGGAGGAAGAGAUAAUCAGUGUUGUCUGACCACUGAAACCCUUCAAAGACACUCCUUCUCCUCUGAGGUCAAUAACCCCCAGCUGUCGACUUUAUUGGCACCUCCUGCCAAGGUGCUUUGGGGCCAUGCUGUUUUCAGUUUUCUCCCUGGUCUCCCACCUUCUUCAACUGCUCCUAGGAGAGUGGCAAUGAGUGGUUGCCAGUAGGGCUGAGGAUGCUGUAGACCCAUGCUUCAACGUAUCUAGUUCUGAGGAUGAA
This 340-nucleotide unclassified non-coding RNA is filed under the name Penaeus chinensis. RNAcentral's name for it is "uncharacterized LOC125032551, transcript variant X2". Lineage: Eukaryota; Metazoa; Arthropoda; Malacostraca; Decapoda; Penaeidae. The record is from RNAcentral.